UAAGGGAUAUUGCGCCAAUGGGCGAAAGCCUGACGCAGCAACGCCGCGUGCGGGAGGAAGGCCUUCGGGUUGUAAACCGCUUUUCCGGGGGAAGAGGAAGGACGGUACCCUGGGAAUAAGUCUCGGCUAACUACGUGCCAGCAGCCGCGGUAAAACGUAGGAGGCGAGCGUUAUCCGGAUUUACUGGGUGUAAAGCGCGUGCAGGCGGAGACGCAAGUCGUGCGUGAAAGCGCUCUGGCUCAACCGGGCGAGGACGUGCGGAACUGCGUUACUAGAGGCAGGUAGAGGCGUGUGGAAUUCCGGGUGUAGUGGUGAAAUGCGUGGAGAUCCGGAGGAACACCUGUGGCGAAGGCGACGCGCUGGGCCUGACCUGACGCUAAGACGCGAAAGCAUGGGAGGCGAACGGGAGUAGUAUACCCGACGUAG
RNAcentral lists this ribosomal RNA (426 nucleotides) under uncultured bacterium. Its description in RNAcentral is "bacterial SSU rRNA". It matches the Rfam family "Bacterial small subunit ribosomal RNA", at positions 355 to 793 of the family's 1533-position model. The record is from RNAcentral.